UUGAGUUUGUUCAUCUCAUAGGAACUGCUCUAACAAGGAAGGUAACGUAAAUGUGGAAAUUGGCAUACCAUUCAAGGGGGUAAUAUAGAAAAUCCCUGAUUUUAUCUGAACCAUUUUUAAAGUUUUCGUUGUUGAAGACACGACUUGUUAAACGAAGAAAAGUGGCCCGCUCACAUCAGAAAAAAAAUGGAAAAGCAACAGACGCAGCUGAAAAAGAGGAAGAAAAACCUUGAUUAUGAUGAUGAUGAAAAUACUAAUGUCGACACUAUGUUUCCAAUAUUACUAGUAUCAUCUCUUAAUAACAUACACACUGCAUUUACUCAAUCAAGCAAUUACAGAAACUUUAUUCAGUUCUUCACUGUCAACCCAAACCUAUAUUCAACAAUUCAUCAAUACUAUUGAUACUCCCAGUUUUGUUAGAAAAAAACUAAUCCACCCUUCAAUUACAUGUCUCAUUCUUGAGAUUAUUGGUUUUAUUUGACUCUCUUCAAUUGAAGAUAAUCAGAGAAUUGCCCUAGAUGAUGAGAUCUUGAGAGGUUUAUUGAAUUGUUUGAUGAAAUGUAAAUCUAAUAAGAAAGUUUUGGUUUCUGUUUGUAAUGCGGUUUUGGAUGUGUCUACAACCUGGAUUGGAAGGGCAAAGCUGUGUCAAGCAUUUGCUGUGCAGAAACUUAUGAUGAUGCUACUUCAAAACAUGUUGUUCAGUAUUGUAUGGAAAAGGGGAGUAGUGAAUUACAGGUAUUAGUUCUCGAGGCCACUAUCAUUUUAAUCAACACCUGUAAUUUGAAGCAAUUGACAGAGAUUCCAAAGGAGUUGGUUGAGAACUUCUUGAGAUUUGGCUGAAAGUAUAUUUAGGCUUUCUAUCAACAGGAGUGAUGGUUCUACUAAUUGCACACCUGAGGUGGUCAGAAGAAACAUUUUUGGGCCAGACCAUUCUGAAUUUGAACAAUUUAUGUUAAAUUACUAGGAAAAUCACCAUUCCUUUUUACGAAGCUCUCGAAGCCUUUGAAUGAUUGUGGAGAUAGUUUCAGUUCGCUCUUUCGAUCCUUUAGCUCGAAAAGAACAACAAAUGCCAUCAUUUCGUCUAUGUUAGGAGGACUAGUUUUUUGUCCACCGCUCCCAUCAGAUGAUCUAGACAUCAUUAGUCCUAGAAGAGGUUAAAGGUGGAUUAGGUUUCCCUAUGAUUUACGAGCAGGACAUUUGGGUCCUUAAAUCAGUGGAUAUGAGUAACACAAAACCAAAGAGGGAGAUUCAUUAUCACAAGGAACUUACAGAUUCCACUGUCAUGCCUGAUCAUAACAUGGUUGAUGUGCACAAAUGUGAAGAAGCAUUUCUAGAGGGUUAUGCAGUUGCUUUGCGUGGGAUGGAAUUCCGUUCAGAAACUAUUGCUGCUAUUGCAGAUGGGUUGGCAGUUCUGUCAACCAUCUGUAGGCGCCAAUGCAUACCUCACCCCACCUCGGUCUCAGGGUUUGGCUUGGCACUAUGAUGACCACUGUGUGUUUAUCUGCCAGCUUCAUGGACAAAGAGAUGGGUGGUUUCACCACGGCAAACUUCUCUGCUACCUUGAUUAUAUGAACCUCUUCAUCACUUGACUGGUUCUGAAGUUGGAAAUGAUGUUUUUGAGUGUAAACAGUUCUUGCUUCAAGAAGGUCAUAUAUUACAUAUACCCAGAGGUUGUCCUCAUGAAGCAUAUACUGUGGUCUGCCUGAGAUUGAUGACGUGUCCACUGGGUCUUCCUUACACUUGACACUUGGAACUGAGAUCGAGUCUCCAUUUGAUUUUUGUUUUAACAUAGGUAAUUUACAUGUGCACUGUGUGGUCAACUGACACAUGUUGUUGGUCCCAAUGUCGCUGGAAUGACCAGCUUAUGGACAAAGUCUAGUAUGGAUAAUGAAAUCGAAAGAGGUGGGACGGGUUCGCUCAUGUUGCACUUCAUUGCUGGAACCAGAAACAACAAGUCAAUCCAUGUAUCCAUCGACUGUCUGGAGUUCUCAACUUCGUGUACGUAAAUCUUUUGCAUGUUUCAAUACAGCUUAUUGGUUACCGAGAUUCUGUUUUCCGGAAAGGUUGCAUGGUUGCCUCAUUUUCACUUCCCCAGGAUAACAAAGAAAACCAGCUGAGUGAAAAUCUGGAUCUGGACCAGAGAAACACAUUUAGUUAUAUUAUAGACUGUAUUCACAAAGAAGCAAACUUCUUCAAAGCAUUCCGAUGCGUGGAAGAAGCAGUUCAAGAGAAGAAUAAAGAGCUGUUUCAACGAAUGAGGUGGCUCCAUCAUCUUGAUCAUGAGGGAGAAGCGGAUGAGGGUUUUGACUGGAACACCCCUCUGAAAGGAUUUGAAAACCUUCUGCAUUUAUUAUGUGAGAACAAAGAAGAUGCAGAAGCUACAUUUACGUCAAAUUUUUGCAAGGCCGCGGUGUUUGAGAAUGUCUGCGAAAGCUUUGAAAUUUUGCUUCUGAACUACAAAGGGACUAGAAACCACUACAUGAGUGGGAUGCUUUUGUUGCAUUGCUCUUGAGUAAGUUUCAGUAUUUAAAUGCAGAUAAGUCAAUAUCAUUUUGAAUAUCAAUUAUCCCGAGUUUUCUCCCUGGUACCGGGGAUCGUUUCUUCAUCUCGUGGUAAUAAUAAUGGGAUUGCUAUUGGUUUUCCGGAGAAUUAUUCACAUUAUUAUGCUACAGCUUAUAAUAGAAAUGUUACAUGGUGGUUGGUACAUCUGUAGAAUAGCUUUGAGGGCACAACGGCACGACGGAAAAAUCCAUUCCAUUGAAAUAUAUGAACUACAUUCUUAUACCAAAAAGAAUAAAAUAUGAUACAUUCUAAGUUGAAGGGAUCUUUUUGUCUCUCCCUUCACAUACAGUUAACUUCUUUUCUAUGGUCUGGGAUGUUUUGGAGUAGGAGUUGGGUGUGUGGAAACUCCAUGGUAAUCAACAUGAUAAACAAGCUCUUCGCCAUUGUCCUCAGCUUCUGCUGGAACUCCUUGGAUGAUAUCAGAUUGCGUGUUCAUGACCUAUUUGGAAAAUCAUUGGAAAUUUCAGCAACACUGAAGAAGUAGAAGAAGAAGAGGAAGAAGCUAGUAUUGUAAUGGUUGGAGAUGAGAGAACGAAGAUCAAAGUUACUAAGAAGCACAAGUGAGAGGGAGAUUGAUAAAACGAACCGAGUGAGCAGCAGGCAGGAAUCUGAGUGAAGCAGUGCCAAGCCUGCUUUUUCUUUGCAGACCAACGGCAGCUAGUUGUCAUUUGUUGCACAUCGAGGGUCAGUCGUAUUUCCUCAUUCAUUGAAUUGAACAUCAUUUUGGUAUGGGAACAAGAGAUGUGACUCGGUAGAUUUGAAUAAAAAAUGUUUUACAAGCAAUUUUACAUGCAACUGGGGUAUCAAUUGUCAGUUGCCCCACACUCAUUGACCAUCAAUUCAUCCACACUAUAGCCUCAGCACAUACUCACACUCAUACCGUCCUUUUCUCUUUUUUAUGAGAGUAUUAGUUUAGUACCAGGUAAAGAUGCAAGGAAUGGAGUAUGGAAGUGCUAGAUAGCCUAGAUUCCACGUUUCAGUUUCAAGACUGAAUACGAAAUACAGAAAUCACAAGCAAAAAUAUCUUGCUUAACAAAAUAUUGUAUUAACCUUUUGUUAUUAAAAAUCAUUGUGCUCCUAAAUUUACUUGCAACUUCUUUUCAGCUCUAGAAGUCCAGAAAGUCUUUUCCCUCAAGACUGCACGAAAUAAUACGUCUAUGGAGAGAAAUACUAUAGGGGGCUUUUAAUUUGACUAGAGUCAAAACCUUUGCCAUUCUGAAAUACAGGGGUUUUCUUUUUGUUAGUAAACCCCAAUUAUACUUGAAUACUAAUUUUAGAAUCCUCCAUCAAUAUAAAUAGUUUGAGUCCAUACAUAUAAACUUCUCUUGGAAAUUCUCUAUACAAAUAGCUCUCUCGUUUGUUCUUCGUAAUUCACAUCAACUUCGCUAGUUAACACAAGCAGGAUGAUAUGUGUUGUUACAUAAGAAGAUCGAUGAUUUCGUGUUCGAAAGACGAAAAACAGAAAAUGAAGCCGGAAAUUACUUACGAAGAAAGGUGCGCGAUAAUAAGUGCAUGGUUGAAGUGCAAGGACGACGACUUCGACAAACAUAUGUCUGAGUUGAUAAGCCAAAAGAGAAAAGAAAUGUCCAGCUACGAUGAAGACCGGGAAGAGUUGAUUCUUGAUUUUAAAAGGAAAGGUUUUAGUUCUCUCAAAGGUGUUCGAGGUUGGGUUGAGAAAGAGAUGGAAGAAGAACUUCCGCAAAAAAGGGCUGAAUGGAAAAAAGCUAAAGGAUGCAAGAAAAAAGUUCCCCGUGGCGCUGACGUCAAAAAGAGAAAGAUAGUACUGGAUGAUGAAACGUGUCAAAUUAGGCUCACAACCAGUAUUAUUAUACAUAUGGAAGAAGGAGAAGAAGAAAUCAACCGCAACAAAAGGAACAUACGUGCAGAAGAAUCAUGCUAUAUGUGUAGUAAGAUACAGUAAUUGAACUUUUGACUUGUUUUAAAGUUACAGUAGUGCUAGUAAUUAGGAUUAGUGGAGGAUGCACUUAUAGUUAGAGCUUUAUAUAUACAAAAUGGAUCCCUGAACUUAAAGUUUUUUUGACUUAA
This is a long non-coding RNA of Papaver somniferum (opium poppy), 4608 nucleotides long. RefSeq lists it as uncharacterized. Lineage: Eukaryota; Viridiplantae; Streptophyta; Magnoliopsida; Ranunculales; Papaveraceae. The record is from RefSeq and is a predicted model, not a curated record. The transcript is spliced from 7 exons.